This 497-nucleotide ribosomal RNA is filed under the name uncultured bacterium. RNAcentral's name for it is "partial 16S ribosomal RNA". It matches the Rfam family "Bacterial small subunit ribosomal RNA", at positions 28 to 507 of the family's 1533-position model. The record is from RNAcentral.
GAUGAACGCUGGCGGCGUGCCUAAUACAUGCAAGUCGAGCGAACGGACGAGAAGCUUGCUUUUCUGAUGUUAGCGGCGGACGGGUGAGUAACACGUGGAUAACCUACCUAUAAGACUGGGAUAACUUCGGGAAACCGGAGCUAAUACCGGAUAAUAUUUUGAACCGCAUGGUUCAAAAGUGAAAGACGGUCUUGCUGUCACUUAUAGAUGGAUCCGCGCUGCAUUAGCUAGUUGGUAAGGUAACGGCUUACCAAGGCAACGAUGCAUAGCCGACCUGAGAGGGUGAUCGGCCACACUGGAACUGAGACACGGUCCCGACUCCUACGGGAGGCAGCAGUAGGGAAUCUUACGCAAAGGGCGAAAGCCUGACGGAGCAACGCCGCGUGAGUGAUGAAGGUCUUCGGAUCGUAAAACUCUGUUAUUAGGGAAGAACAUAUGUGUAAGUAACUGUGCACAUCUUGACGGUACCUAAUCAGAAAGCCACGGCUAACUACGUG